GACGAACGCUGGCGGCGUGCUUAACACAUGCAAGUCGAACGGAAAGGCCCUGCUGUGGUGGGGUGCUCGAGUGGCGAACGGGUGAGUAACACGUGAGUAACCUGCCCUUGACUUUGGGAUAACUUCAGGAAACUGGGGCUAAUACCGGAUAGGAGCUCCUGCUGCAUGGUGGGGGUUGGAAAGUUUCGGCGGUUGGGGAUGGACUCGCGGCUUAUCAGCUUGUUGGUGGGGUAGUGGCUUACCAAGGCUUUGACGGGUAGCCGGCCUGAGAGGGUGACCGGCCACAUUGGGACUGAGCUACGGCCCAGACUCCUACGGGAGGCAGCAGUGGGGAAUAUUGCACAAUGGGCGGAAGCCUGAUGCAGCAACGCCGCGUGCGGGAUGACGGCCUUCGGGUUGUAACCCGCUUUCGCCUGUGACGAAGCGUGAGUGACGGUAAUGGGUAAAGAAGCACCGGCUAACUACGUG
Molecule: ribosomal RNA, 468 nt
Filed under: uncultured bacterium
Lineage: Bacteria
Description: partial 16S ribosomal RNA
Rfam family: Bacterial small subunit ribosomal RNA
Source: RNAcentral